This 433-nucleotide ribosomal RNA is filed under the name uncultured bacterium. Its description in RNAcentral is "partial 16S ribosomal RNA". It matches the Rfam family "Bacterial small subunit ribosomal RNA", at positions 29 to 507 of the family's 1533-position model. The record is from RNAcentral.
AACGAACGCUGGCGGCAUGCCUAACACAUGCAAGUCGAACGAGACCUUCGGGUCUAGUGGCGCACGGGUGCGUAACGCGUGGGAACCUGCCCUUAGGUUCGGAAUAACUCCCCGAAAGGGGUGCUAAUGCCGGAUAAUGUCUUCGGACCAAAGAUUUAUCGCCUUUGGAUGGGCCCGCGUUGGAUUAGCUAGUUGGUAGGGUAAAAGCCUGCCAAGGCGACGUUCCAUAGCUGGUCGGAGAGGAUGAUCAGCCACACUGGGACUGAGACACGGACCAGACCCCUACGGAGGGCAGCAGAAGAGAAUACUAGACAAUGGACCAAAGCCUGGUCCAGCAGUGCCACGUAAGUGAGGAAGGCCUUAGGGUUGUAAAGCUCUUUUACCAGGAAUGACAAUGACAGUACCGGGAGAAUAAGCUCCGGCUAACUCCGUG